GAGACCGGGAUGAAAGGUUUAAUAUUUAAGAAAGUUUGUUUUUAGAAUUUUUAGAAUUUUUAGUGAGAGUAAAAAUACUUUUAUUUUUAAAAGAGACGAUAAGACCCUAAAAUUUUUAUUUUGUUAGGGUAUAUAUAAGACUUAAUUGGAAUUUAUUUGGGGUAAAUAUUUUUGUAUUUUAGAAUAAAAUUUUACUCUUGUGUAAAAGAAUCUUAAAUUAGGUUAUUAGGGUAAAUUACUUUAGGGAUAACAGCGUAAUUUUUUAUUGGAGAUGGUAUUUAUUAAAUUUUUGCGACCUCGAUGUUGAAUUAAGAUUUCUUUUUGUGGCAGUUUGCAUAUUAGAGGGUUUGUUCAACCUUUAAUUUUUUACAUGAUCUGAGUUCAAACCGG
This 390-nucleotide ribosomal RNA is filed under the name Chelicorophium chelicorne. Its description in RNAcentral is "partial 16S ribosomal RNA". The record is from RNAcentral. Lineage: Eukaryota; Metazoa; Arthropoda; Malacostraca; Amphipoda; Corophiidae.